RNAcentral lists this unclassified non-coding RNA (429 nucleotides) under Hevea brasiliensis (rubber tree). Lineage: Eukaryota; Viridiplantae; Streptophyta; Magnoliopsida; Malpighiales; Euphorbiaceae. The record is from RNAcentral.
UCUUGCAAUAUCUUCAUAAACCUUUUGUUAACCAUCACACUUUGCUUCUUCACCCUCCCUGCCGGAGCACAAAUUGUCUAUCUGUACACGUAUUGUCCAAACUCAACCACUUACCCAGUAAACAGUAUCUAUGAUAGAAAUCUCAAUUCCCUGCUCUCUUCACUUUCCUCCAAUUCCACGCAAAAGAAUGGAUUCUACAAUACCACCGCUGGUCAAGACCCAUCCAACACGGCCUACGGCCUCUACCUCUGUCGUGGGGAUGUUGCCAUGGACGUCUGCCAAGAUUGUGUAGUGACUGCAAGCAAAGAGAUCGUUCGAAAAUGCCCCAGAAACAACGAAUCCGUCAUAUACUAUGACGAGUGUAUGUUGCGUUAUUCCAACAAAUCUUUCUUCUCUCAAGUGCAGUAUCGUCCCUGGUUACGAAUGUGG